RNAcentral lists this ribosomal RNA (253 nucleotides) under uncultured bacterium. RNAcentral describes it as "partial 16S ribosomal RNA". It matches the Rfam family "Bacterial small subunit ribosomal RNA", at positions 524 to 776 of the family's 1533-position model. The record is from RNAcentral.
UACGGAGGGUGCAAGCGUUAUCCGGAUUCACUGGGUUUAAAGGGUGCGUAGGCGGGUUGGUAAGUCCGUGGUGCAAUCUCCAAGCUUAACUUGGAAACUGCCGUGGAUACUAUCAAUCUUGAAUAUAGUGGAGGUGAGCGGAAUAUGUCAUGUAGCGGUGAAAUGCUUAGAUAUGACAUAGAACACCCAUUGCGAAGGCAGCUUACUACGGAUGCAUUGACACUGAGGCACGAAAGCGUGGGGAGCAAACAGG